Molecule: long non-coding RNA, 754 nt
Filed under: Sorghum bicolor (sorghum)
Lineage: Eukaryota; Viridiplantae; Streptophyta; Magnoliopsida; Poales; Poaceae
Description: long non-coding RNA (SBIC_LNC015597)
Source: RNAcentral
UGUGAAUUCAUGAAUAUGUGAAUAGUUAACAUGAUAUGAGCUAAUGCGGGUACGCGAAACCCCACGAAGAUUAUUCGACAUACAUGGGUAUGGAUUGGGAGAAAACGUCUCCAUAACAUUUGACGGGGACAGAAUGGGGAAAGUUUUUUCCCACGAGAACAGGGAUGAAGAGGCACUCCCGGAUAGGGAAUUUCUUGUUGACAUCUUAACGUAAACACCGAUCAACUCUAUCUAGGCGGUUCAACGUGUACAUUUAAACAUAAGAUUAGAUCAAUGCAAGUCGCACUUCAUCCAUUCUUUUGUUCGUUCGUUACAAAUUCAAACACAUUAUCAUCAUGUUUGAGAUCGAAAAUAAGCAGCACUGCAGCAGUUCAGAAGGGGUGAAGAUGGAUUCACCAGUGCGGCCUGCAGCAGUUAAACUAGCCCGAGGCCUAUGGCACUGUGACGUGGGAGAUCGACUGACGAACCUGGCCAAGCAACAAGAACAAAAGCAGACUGGAUAGAUUUGUAUGUAGAGAUAAAAGAAAAAGGGAAAAAAAAUCCAUCGCACCUUCCUCAAGUAUUGCACGAGUUCGAUUUAUCUCCCUCAGGCCUCAAUCGAAAAAAAAACUGAUUAUCAUAUUCUAUAAACAUUUAGAAUCAUUCGAUUUACCUGACAUCGCACGUGAACCUAUGUGACGCCACAUCAGCAACGAGGGAGGUAAAACAAGUCAAAAAGAUCAGGGUUACUUCAAUAUUGCUUAGAUUUUACGGG